CAGUGAGGAAUAUUGCGCAAUGGAGGCAACUCUGACGCAGCCAUGCCGCGUGCAGGAAGAAGGCGCUACGCGUUGUAAACUGCUUUUAUCCGGGAAGAAACCCCAGGACGUGUCCUGGGUUGACGGUACCGGAGGAAUAAGCACCGGCUAACUUCGUGCCAGCAGCCGCGGUAAUACGAAGGGUGCAAGCGUUAUCCGGAUUCAUUGGGUUUAAAGGGUGCGUAGGCGGAACAAUAAGUCAGCGGUGAAAGCCCGUAGCUUAACUACGGAAUUGCCGUUGAUACUGUUGUUCUUGAGUACGCUUGACGUGGGCGGAAUGUGCCGUGUAGCGGUGAAAUGCUUAGAUAUGGCACAGAACACCGAUAGUGAAGACAGCUCACGAAGGCGAAACUGACGCUGAGGCACGAAAGCGUGGGGAUCAAACAGGAUUAGAUACCCUGGUAGUCCACGCCGUAAACGAUGAUCACUCGUGAUGGCGAUAUACGGUCAGUCAC
Molecule: ribosomal RNA, 494 nt
Filed under: uncultured Bacteroidota bacterium
Lineage: Bacteria; Pseudomonadati; Bacteroidota
Description: bacterial SSU rRNA
Rfam family: Bacterial small subunit ribosomal RNA
Source: RNAcentral